RNAcentral lists this non-coding RNA (48 nucleotides) under Schistosoma mansoni. Lineage: Eukaryota; Metazoa; Platyhelminthes; Trematoda; Strigeidida; Schistosomatidae. The record is from RNAcentral.
AUUCAGCUGACAAGUCUCAAAUAGGACGAAACGCGCGUGAAACUGGAU